GCGCACGGGUGAGUAACAGGUAUGCAAUCUACCGCCAACUGGGGAAUAACCCGUCGAAAGACGGACUAACACCGCAUAAGACCACAUUCUGGCAUCGGAAAGAGGUAAAAUAUUUAUAGGUUGGCGAUGAGCAUGCUUAAUAUUAGGUAGUUGGUAGGGUAACAGCCUACCAAGCCGACGAUAUUUAGGGGUUCUGAGAGGAAGGUCCCCCACACUGGAACUGAGACACGGUCCAGACUCCUACGGGAGGCAGCAGUGAGGAAUAUUGGUCAAUGGUCGGAAGACUGAACCAGCCAUGCCGCGUGAAGGAAGAAUGCCUUAUGGGUUGUAAACUUCUUUUUUACGGGAACAAUAAGUGUUACGUGUAACACGACGAGGGUACCGUACGAAUAAGCAUCGGCUAACUCCGUGCCAGCAGCCGCGGUAAUACGGAGGAUGCGAGCGUUAUCCGGAUUUAUUGGGUUUAAAGGGUGCGUAGGCUGACUUAUAAGUCAGAGGUGAAAUACUACAGCUUAACUGUAGAAUUGCCUUUGAUACUGUAGGGCUUGAGUACAUCUGAGGUAGGCGGAAUGUGCAGUGUAGCGGUGAAAUGCUUAGAUAUUGCACAGAACACCGAUUGCGAAGGCAGCUUACUAAGAUGUAACUGACGCUGAAGCACGAAAGUGUGGGGAUCAAACAGGAUUAGAUACCCUGGUAGUCCACACUGUAAACUAUGAUUACUGGAUGUUUGUUGGGCAACUGAUGAGCGUCUCAAGCGAAAGCAUUAAGUAAUCCACCUGGGGAGUACGUCGGCAACGAUGAAACUCAAAGGAAUUGACGGAAUCA
This 825-nucleotide ribosomal RNA is filed under the name uncultured bacterium. Its description in RNAcentral is "bacterial SSU rRNA". It matches the Rfam family "Bacterial small subunit ribosomal RNA", at positions 98 to 921 of the family's 1533-position model. The record is from RNAcentral.